AGAGANAAGACCAACAGGGAUUACCUCAGUAACGGCGAGUGAAGCGGUAACAGCUCAAAUUUGAAAUCUGGGCCCCUCGGGCCCCGAGUUGUAAUUUGUAGAAGAUGCUUCGGGUGCGGCUCCGGUCUAAGUUCCUUGGAACAGGACGUCAUAGAGGGUGAGAAUCCCGUAUGUGAUCGGCUGCCUGCGCCCGUGUGAAGCUCUUUCGACGAGUCGAGUUGUUUGGGAAUGCAGCUCUAAAUGGGUGGUAAAUUUCAUCUAAAGCUAAAUACUGGCCAGAGACCGAUAGCGCACAAGUAGAGUGAUCGAAAGAUGAAAAGCACUUUGGAAAGAGAGUUAAACAGUACGUGAAAUUGUUGAAAGGGAAGCGCUUGCAAUCAGACUUGCGCGUUGCCGAUCAUCCGGGGUUCUCCCCGGUGCACUCGGCCUCGCUCAGGCCAGCAUCGGUUUCGGUGGUGGGAUAAAGGCCGCGGGAAUGUAGCUCCUCUCGGGGAGUGUUAUAGCCCGCGGUGCAAUGCCGCCUACCGGGACCGAGGACCGCGCUUCGGCUAGGAUGCUGGCGUAAUGGUUGUAAGCGACCCGUCUUGAAACACGGACCAAGGAGUCUAACAUCUAUGCGAGUUGGGGGGGUGGGAAA
This 637-nucleotide ribosomal RNA is filed under the name Coleophoma parafusiformis. RNAcentral describes it as "LSU rRNA". It matches the Rfam family "Eukaryotic large subunit ribosomal RNA", at positions 55 to 706 of the family's 3401-position model. Lineage: Eukaryota; Fungi; Ascomycota; Leotiomycetes; Helotiales; Dermateaceae. The record is from RNAcentral.